Pongo abelii (Sumatran orangutan) is the source of this 1814-nucleotide long non-coding RNA. NCBI's taxonomy places the organism in Eukaryota, Metazoa, Chordata, Mammalia, Primates, Hominidae. The record is from Ensembl.
AUAAAUGGAAUCAUACAGUCUGUAGCCUUGUACAUCUCUCUGGCUUGUUUCACUGAGAAGGAUGUUUUCAGGGUUCACUGAUGUCGCAGCAUGUGUCAGUACUUCAUUCCUUUUUAUGGCUGAGUAGUCCAAGGAAUAUUCCAUGGAAACAUUUUAUUAAUCCACUCAUCAGUUGACGGACAUUUGGGAUGUUUGGGCUUACUUUACAGGUGUAAUCAUGUAAGCAUAUUCUUUGCCUACUCCUUCCCACAAAUUAAGGAAAAUCAGUAGCAAAAUGAAGGGCAAGCAACUAAAACAGCCAGCAACUGACACACAGACAAGGAAAAGCACCUCUGGUUUUUAGGUUAAGCCAGUGAAGAGUGGGGCCGAGAUUUGGUGUCCACCUAGUUCAAAACCCCGAACACUUUCCAAGCCUAUGUUCUGAGUUGAGUCGAUCCACUAAACCAUCAAGUGCACCCAUGGGAAAGUCCUUGGAUCAGCAGGAAGAGCUACAAAUUACAGAUCAUUGGUUUUUAAUCUGUCUUCCAGAGACUCCUAAGAUUUCAUGGAAGCAACUCAUGGGCCACCAAGCGGGCUGUAGUUGGGGGUUAGAUAGGUAGAACUCUGAGCCUGGUCCCCAUCCCUGAUUUAAAUAGAACAGCCUCGAUUGAAUUGCUUUAUUUGUGGGGUUUCUUCUAAGAGUUAAUUUGGAACAAAUAAAGGGUGUUCUUGGCUUUAAAAGAGUUUGGCAAGCAUUGGUCAAAGUGGUUGUGGAAUUGCUGGACUGUGACUGGGCCUCCCUGACAGCUGCUCUUACGAGUUCUUCUGAGGAACCUUGAUGGUGACCGUCUUCACCUCUGUGUAGGCCUUAAGCCCAUCCUCACCCAGCUCCCUCCCAUUUCCAGAUUCCUUAAACCCUCCAAAUGGCGUGUGGCAGGUGAUGAUAUUGUAGGUGUUUACCCACACGGUCCCGGCCUGGAGUGCCUGGGUGAAGUACAUGGCCUUGUCCAGAUCCCGGGUGAACACAGCCGCAGCCAGGCCAUACCUGGUGUUGUUGGCCCUCUCAAUCACCUCCUCCAUCUUCUUGAACUUGAACAGGGGCUGCACAGGCCCAAAGAUCUCCUCUUUGGCAAUUCUCAUGUCAUCCUGCACGCCACCAAAGACAGUAGGCUUGAUGAAGAAACCACGCUCCCCGAAACGCUCUCCGCCACAGAGGAGUUUUGCGCCCUCCUUCUGGCCAAGCUGGAUGUAGCCUAGGACUCAUUCAAACUGCUCCUUGUCCACCUGAGGCCCCUGCUGGGUGUCCAGCUCAAAGGGGUUCCCCACUUUCCUCUGCUUUGCUUUCUCCACGGUUCUCUCGAGAAACUCAUUGUAGAUGGAUUCUUCCACGAAGGUCCGGGAGCCAGCACAGCAGCACUGGCCCAUGUUGAAGAACAGGGCUUCGUGGCACUGCUCCACGGCAUGCUCCAUGUCAGCAUCGGCCAGCACGAUGCUGGGGCUCUUACCACCCAGCUCCAGGGUGACUCUCUUGAGGUUGGAAUCACCAGCUGCUUUCUGGAUCAGGUGGCCCACCUCGGUGGAACCGGUGAAGGCAACUUUGUCAACAUCCAUGUGCUGUGCAAUGGCCGCACCUGCCCGUAAUGAUGUUCACCACCCCAGGGGGAAAGCCCGCCUCCUUGAUGAGGGAGGCCAAAUACAGGGCAGAGAGGGGGGUCUGCUCUGCCACCUUCAUAACCACAGUGUUGCCUGUGGCGAGUGCCGGGGCAAGUUUCCAACCCUGCAUGACCAAGGGGAAGUUCCACGGGAUGAUCUGGCCACAGACACCAACGGGCUCA